GACCACAAAAGUUAACGUCAGUUGUCAUUUUAUGACAACAAACAGCCGCGCAAGGUAGGUUUUUUCCAAUAUCUUUGCUGAUCAUUCUCUGACUUUCAUACGAAAUAGUGCAGGCAAUAUGGCAUGCAUAUAGCUUUCGAUCGGUAUAUCACGCGUUUUGUGUGUUGCUCUUGGUUUCGAGAACGCUUCGGCGCAAAUUUCCAUUUAAGAAGCAUACGUCAGUAGUAAAAUUACAAAGAGUCAGUGUUCUCGAAAAAAAACGAUCACAGAACUGUCUAUGCUUUACCGGACGAACAUAUAUUACAUAUGUCUAUGCAUAAACAAACAAAAAUAUAUACCAGAUAUUAAAUAAACGUUUAAAGAGUGAAAACAAAUAUGGCAAACGUCAGUAGUACGUUUAGGAAUGGCAAACGUCAGUAGCAAAAAUAUGCAAACGGCAGUAGCCGAAAAAAAACAACAAGCGUUUAAUUUAAUGAAAAACAUGUGAAACAAUAUAAUUUAUGCUAAUUUAGAUUUAAAUUAGAUAUAACAAGUUAAGAUUGAUUAAAUUAAUGCACGACAUAUAUAAAUUCUGCAACAACAAAAAUGAACUAAUGUUUAAGUGAUACUAUGGGCAUCUAACAGUGUAUAGGUGUCUAUCACAACCGUUGUUUAUUUUUGGUGUUUUCACUUCAUAUACACGGUUAUUCGUUAAUGCAGCAUCAACAUAUUGAAAAAAUAUCUCGGAAAGAGAAAUAUAAUGCUUUUGAAUAUCAACCGUACUUUCGGUUUGACAACUGACGACAGGAAUGAUUCGAUUUACAAUGUGAAUCUAAAUUGAGUCUUAUGCAGAUUCUUUCAUACGACACAAAGACACUUAUUUUGUUUUACGGAUCAACUUACAUCAUGAGCUUCAUUUGUGUGACGAUACAAAGUAUAUUAAACAUGCUCCAUUUGUGUGACGUCACUAUGUAUAUUAUUAACAUGUUCUCGUCUUGUUCACGGAAUUCUCUGGUGUCUUAACUCCGAGGGAAGCUCAAGCAAGAGCUGAGGUGGCAAGGCUUGACAUCGGUCAAGUAUUCGAUGCGCCUCCCUCUGAACCAAGGACGCAGACAGGUCGGGCGCUUAUGGCCCGCAGGAGAAUAGCUGAUCGAAAGACGAUGGCCGUACCUCAGCAAGUGAACGAGUGCCGCGCCCACAUUAUGAUAGUGGACCCUAAUUGCGUCACACCCGACCAGUGCACAACAGAUGCGGACUGUGGAAAAGGGGAGCUCUGUUGCACUUCACCAUGUGCAAGAUAUUGCAAAGGUCCUGGAUUUCCUUGAUAACACGACCGGUGGCAAUCCUUGGCUUUUCCUAAACGGAAAAAAGACGAGUUGAAUGGUUUCCUAGUUUUUCAUAAAGCACAACAUUAAUGUUGUUAAUAACACUUAAGUGUAUGUUGAACUUGGCUGAUAUAUUAUUGAAUUAUAUCAAAGUUAUCAAUGAUAAUCUUUUCUUUACUGAAAAACAACAUUGUUUUAGUAAUAUAAAGAAUAAAACAAAAUCUUA
This is a long non-coding RNA of Dreissena polymorpha, 1530 nucleotides long. RefSeq lists it as uncharacterized. The record is from RefSeq and is a predicted model, not a curated record. The transcript is spliced from 2 exons. NCBI's taxonomy places the organism in Eukaryota, Metazoa, Mollusca, Bivalvia, Myida, Dreissenidae.